Long non-coding RNA from Esox lucius (northern pike), 452 nucleotides. NCBI's taxonomy places the organism in Eukaryota, Metazoa, Chordata, Actinopteri, Esociformes, Esocidae. The record is from Ensembl.
GUUCCUAACCAGUUUAUAGUAGAUAUCCUCAACCCUCAGUCUAGCUGAACACCCAGAUACCCAUGAACAGGUUCCUAACCAGUUUAUAGUAGACAUACUCAACCCUCAGUCUAGCUGAACACCCAGAUACCCAUGAACAGGUUCCUAACCAGUUUAUAGUAGACAUACUCAACCCUCAGUCUUGCUGCCAGCAUCCCCACAAACAUGCCCACCAUGUUCACAGACCCCAGGCUCAGAAUACAAUUCCUCUGUCUCUAAUUUAGCUGCCCCCUGACACAAAAUUAAACAAAAUCACUAUGGCAUGUGGACUAAAACACAUGUGGAAUCCUCCAUUGGGGGUCAGAUGUUUAUUGGUGGAUACAUGUAGAAUCCUCCAUUGGAGGUCAGAUGUCUAUUGGUGGUUACAUGUAGAAUCCUCCAUUGGAGGUCAGAUGUCUAUUGGUGGAUACAUG